GCAGUCGAACGAGACGGGCUAUAGCUUGCUAUAGUUGUCAGCUAAGUGGCGCACGGGUGAGUAAUGUAUAGGUAAUAUGCCUCUUACUAAGGGAUAACAAUUGGAAACGUUUGCUAAUACCUUAUACUCCUUAUUAACCUAAGUUAAUAAGGGAAAGAUUUAUUGGUAAGAGAUUAGCCUGUAUUGUAUCAGUUAGUUGGUGGGGUAAUGGCCUACCAAGACUAUGACACAUAACUGGUUUGAGAGGAUGAUCAGUCACACUGGAACUGAGACACGGUCCAGACUCCUACGGGAGGCAGCAGUGGGGAAUAUUGCACAAUGGACGAAAGUCUGAUGUAGCAACGCCGCGUGGAGGAUGACACAUUUCGGUGCGUAAACUCCUUUUAUAUGAGAAGAUAAUGACGGUAUUAUAUGAAUAAGCACCGGCUAACUCCGUGCCAGCAGCCGCGGUAAUACGGGGGGUGCAAGCGUUACUCGGAAUCACUGGGCGUAAAGAGCAUGUAGGCGGAUUAAUAAGUUUGAAGUGAAAUCCUAUAGCUUAACUAUAGAACUGCUUUGAAAACUGUUAAUCUAGAAUGUGGGAGAGGUAGAUGGAAUUUCUGGUGUAGGGGUAAAAUCCGUAGAGAUCAGAAGGAAUACCGAUUGCGAAGGCGAUCUACUGGAACAUUAUUGACGCUGAGAUGCGAAAGCGUGGGGAGCAAACAGGAUUAGAUACCCUGGUAGUCCACGCCCUAAACGAUGUACACUAGUUGUUGUGAGACUUGAUCUUGCAGUAAUGCAGUUAACACAUUAAGUGUACCGCCUGGGGAGUACGGUCGCAAGAUUAAAACUCAAAGGAAUAGACGGGGACCCGCACAAGCGGUGGAGCAUGGGGUUUAAUUCGACGAUACACGAAGAACCUUACCUGGACUUGACAUAGUAAGAACUUUCUAGAGAUAGAUUGGUGUCUGCUUGCAGAAACUUAUAUACAGGUGCUGCACGGCUGUCGUCAGCUCGUGUCGUGAGAUGUUGGGUUAAGUCCCGCAACGAGCGCAACCCUCGUGUUUAGUUGCUAACAGUUCGGCUGAGAACUCUAAACAGACUGCCUACGCAAGUAGGAGGAAGGUGAGGACGACGUCAAGUCAUCAUGGCCCUUACGUCCAGGGCUACACACGUGCUAC
RNAcentral lists this ribosomal RNA (1160 nucleotides) under uncultured bacterium. RNAcentral describes it as "bacterial SSU rRNA". It matches the Rfam family "Bacterial small subunit ribosomal RNA", at positions 57 to 1228 of the family's 1533-position model. The record is from RNAcentral.